UACGGGGGGAGCAAGCGUUGUUCGGAUUUACUGGGCGUAAAGGGCGCGUAGGCGGUCAGCACAAGUCAGUUGUGAAAUCUCCGGGCUUAACCCGGAGCGGCCAAGUGAUACUGUAGUGCUAGAGUGCGGAAGGGGCUACUGGAAUUCUCGGUGUAGCGGUGAAAUGCGUAGAUAUCGAGAGGAACACCUGCGGCGAAGGCGGGUAGCUGGGCCGACACUGACGCUGAGGCGCGAAAGCCAGGGGAGCGAACGGG
Molecule: ribosomal RNA, 254 nt
Filed under: uncultured bacterium
Lineage: Bacteria
Description: partial 16S ribosomal RNA
Rfam family: Bacterial small subunit ribosomal RNA
Source: RNAcentral